Long non-coding RNA from Octopus sinensis (East Asian common octopus), 125 nucleotides. RefSeq lists it as uncharacterized. Lineage: Eukaryota; Metazoa; Mollusca; Cephalopoda; Octopoda; Octopodidae. The transcript has 3 exons. The record is from RefSeq and is a predicted model, not a curated record.
UACAUUUUAUAAGCUGAAAUAAAGUUGUUUGAUGGACAGAGUGAGUUAAUUUACAGCACAAAUAUUUGAUCACUAUAAACAAAUCAUCUGUGCAGGUUGUUCAACAAGAAAUUACAGAAACCACA